GACGAACGCUGGCGGCGUGCUUAACACAUGCAAGUCGAGCGGUAAGGCCCUUUCGGGGGUACACGAGCGGCGAACGGGUGAGUAACACGUGGGUGACCUGCCCUCAGCUCUGGGAUAAGCCUGGGAAACUGGGUCUAAUACUGGAUAUGACUCCACGGUGCAUGUCGUGGGGUGGAAAGCCUUGUGCGGCUGAGGAUGGGCCCGCGGCCUAUCAGCUUGUUGGUGGGGUGANGGCCUACCAAGGC
RNAcentral lists this ribosomal RNA (245 nucleotides) under uncultured bacterium. RNAcentral's name for it is "partial 16S ribosomal RNA". It matches the Rfam family "Bacterial small subunit ribosomal RNA", at positions 28 to 274 of the family's 1533-position model. The record is from RNAcentral.